AGAAAAAAAUGCGUGGUUUCCUGGGAAUACCCUCAAUAAAUGGUGUCUCUUUUGUUAAACUUGUGGAACUGUGCCUGGCCCCAGGAUGUUUGGUGGAAACGCUGUGUGGCACGUGCAUUUGGCUGGCGGAAGGUGCUGCCUAUAAAAACCACUGGAGUGCGAUCACAGCCAUUGCUGUCCUCAUUGCGGCUUGCUACGCACAGCAAAUGUACCGUUUCAGAAGAAAAUUCUUACUUUUUUUUUCCUUUGUACAAGCCAYGGUUGCAGUGACGAUAAAGACUUCAGCUCUGAUACAUGAAGUUUGGGGUGGAGGGAUUGUGUUCUAAGCCCCCUGAAGCAAACUGCAGGCCCGUUUGCAGUGUGGGCUUUAACUYGAUACCAGCUUAGAGAUCUGCUGGUUUGCUGUUAGAGGAAGGGAGGCUAUGGCUUUUCCAGGAUAGCACACGUGUACUUUCAUUGCCUGUGUAUUAAGCAAAWUGUCAAGAGCUGAGAGAUGCUUGUAACCUAUGUGCUGAAAUUCCUAGAUAUGUCUUCAGUGACUAUUAAUAAUUUCCCCUAUAUGGAAAACUAUCAAGUAGUGCCUGUUUUUUUUUCCCCCCUCUCUUUUGUCAGGUGCAUAUUUUCAGUGUGCUCAGCUGAGAUAUUAUGGCUCCUUGACAGCAAAAGUGGUUCGCUUUGGAGCAAGGCCCUGCAGUAACUCUGGUUGCACCUACUCGCACUGCUGGCUGCAGGGAGGGACUGGGAUUUGGUCCUGCUCCUCUGCUCUCCUUGCCGGUGAGGUCUCUUCCAGGGCCAUUUCUAUCCCCUCUGAAUCCAUUCUAAAACCUACAGCCAGGAUCGUUCUGCCGUGGCAAUACCUAGAGUGUUUUAAYGGAGAUGAGCAGGGUGCUGGAGAAAUGGUGCAGGCUGCGUGGGCUCCCGAAGCCCGAGAAGAACAUGGGAAAUGAGCUAGAGGAAAUACAGGCUUAUAGAGCUGUAGAAGGCAUUGAAGGACUAUCAGCACUUCGUUCUGUUCCCUUGGUUUUAAACUGGAUUGGGUAGUACUUAUACAGAUGCUAAAAUGAAGGUUUCACCUAUAACCCCAGCUGGGCUAGCAAGCUUAGGUUUAAAGCCAGCUCUAGGUCUGAGAUCUUAUUCUGGAGGCUGUUAGUAUUAUUUGUGCUAAUAAACAGCUAAGAAUAAGCUUGCA
Molecule: long non-coding RNA, 1189 nt
Filed under: Dromaius novaehollandiae (emu)
Lineage: Eukaryota; Metazoa; Chordata; Aves; Casuariiformes; Dromaiidae
Description: lncRNA (ENSDNVG00000003802.1)
Source: RNAcentral